CCAGUGCGCGUGGUUGCGCCGUGUAGCCUGGCCAGUUCAGCGUGCACGCACGAAAGCAUGUUGUCGCUGCACUCUGUGACAGCGACGUCAAGCCAAUCUUUCACAAUGCAGGAACGCUGGAAGAUAUUCAUAUUAGCCAUCGCACGCUUCUUGCUAAAACUGCAUUGAGUCACUGAUGACACAGUGGGUGGCAAUUUGUUUGAAGCGCUCAAGAACGUGGAGAGCUGAUGCUUUCAAUUGAUGUCACUUCUACACGUGUGAAGAACACAACAGUGAGCCUAUGGCCCAAUUUUAUCAUCGGUCCUUCGAUUUACCGGACAUAGAUGCAGAAGACAUUACUAAGGGGUUGGCUGACGAUGCGAAUGACCUACAUGAGCCGACAAUGCCGUUCUUGGGUUGACAUGGGAUGGACGUCCGGUAGUGCCAAUAUGAUGACCUUGAAGAAUGUAAUGCGUACGUUCUUUAAGUGAAUAAGUAAAGAUAUAAUGGGAACUCACAGCCCUA
Rhipicephalus sanguineus (brown dog tick) is the source of this 504-nucleotide long non-coding RNA. RefSeq lists it as uncharacterized. The record is from RefSeq and is a predicted model, not a curated record. The transcript is spliced from 3 exons. NCBI's taxonomy places the organism in Eukaryota, Metazoa, Arthropoda, Arachnida, Ixodida, Ixodidae.